UACAGAGGUCUCAAGCGUUGUUCGGAUUCAUUGGGCGUAAAGGGUGCGUAGGUGGCGGGGUAAGUCAGGUGUGAAAUCUCGGAGCUUAACUCCGAAACUGCAUUCGAUACUGCCGUGCUUGAGGACUGGAGAGGAGACUGGAAUUUACGGUGUAGCGGUGAAAUGCGUAGAUAUCAGGAGGAACACCGGUGGCGAAGGCGGAUCUCUGGGCCUGUCCUGACGCUCAGGCGCGAAAGCUAGGGGAGCAAACAGG
This 253-nucleotide ribosomal RNA is filed under the name uncultured bacterium. RNAcentral's name for it is "partial 16S ribosomal RNA". It matches the Rfam family "Bacterial small subunit ribosomal RNA", at positions 524 to 776 of the family's 1533-position model. The record is from RNAcentral.